This 434-nucleotide ribosomal RNA is filed under the name uncultured bacterium. RNAcentral describes it as "partial 16S ribosomal RNA". It matches the Rfam family "Bacterial small subunit ribosomal RNA", at positions 29 to 507 of the family's 1533-position model. The record is from RNAcentral.
AGCGAACGCUGGCGGCAGGCCUAACACAUGCAAGUCGAACGAACCUUUCGGGGUUAGUGGCGGACGGGUGAGUAACACGUGGGAACGUGCCUUUAGGUUCGGAAUAACUCAGGGAAACUUGUGCUAAUACCGAAUGUGCCCUUCGGGGGAAAGAUUAAUCGCCUUUAGAGCGGCCCGCGUCUGAUUAGCUAGUUGGUUGAGGUAAUGGCUCACGAAGGCGACGAUCAGUAGCUGGUCUGAGAGGAUGAUCAGCCACAUUGGGACUGAGACACGGCCCAAACUCCUACGGGAGGCAGCAGUGGGGAAUCUUGCGCAAUGGGCGAAAGCCUGACGCAGCCAUGCCGCGUGAAUGAUGAAGGUCUUAGGAUUGUAAAAUUCUUUCACCGGGGACGAUAAUGACGGUACCCGGAGAAGAAGCCUCGGCUAACUUCGUG